Molecule: small nuclear RNA, 147 nt
Filed under: Octodon degus (degu)
Lineage: Eukaryota; Metazoa; Chordata; Mammalia; Rodentia; Octodontidae
Description: U4 spliceosomal RNA (ENSODEG00000025676.1)
Rfam family: U4 spliceosomal RNA (bases 1-73)
Source: RNAcentral
AGCUUUGCACAGUGGCAGUGUCGUAGCCAAUGAGGUUUAUUCGAGGCACGGUUAUUGCUAAUUGAAAAUGUAAGGUUUCUGGCCACUGGGACCACUGUGGAACUUCUUUUCCUACUUUUAACUGGCCCACAUUCGCUCUACAGAGAG